This 2005-nucleotide long non-coding RNA is filed under the name Varroa destructor (honeybee mite). Its description in RNAcentral is "uncharacterized LOC111253829". Lineage: Eukaryota; Metazoa; Arthropoda; Arachnida; Mesostigmata; Varroidae. The record is from RNAcentral.
CCUGCCGAUUCUUUAUUACGGUUACCGGAUCCAAGUAAGAGAAGCUCCGUGGUGAAGUUGUCGAGUUCAACGCAGGGCCAAUUGUUGACGACUGAUGCCGGUUUCGCUUAGAGAGAGCAAACCUAUCACUUAUCCGACACGCUGUCAAUCGGUACAAAUGAUCAUUGGACGCGCUACGAAUGGGAGCUGUUUAUUGUACGAGCAUGUCAAGGCGCACAACAAACUUUUGUCCGGUUACAAGGGUUGCUAUACAAGGCGCUACAAUCUACGUUUGGAGCGGCGUCUAUUUGGCUCAACGCUGAAACAUCCGCGCCACCGAAGUACGCGUCGACGGCGUAGCUACCUAUACAUCAAAGAUCGUUAUUAUUACUGGAGAAGCAACGUGUCUUGAUAAUAGACGUACAUCUGUGUAUGUGUGUUUAUCUACAGUUACUAGACAAUCUUUCAUCGUGAUUGGACUUACUUAAAUACUUUGUGUUAAGAAUCAUAGGAGACCACUCCGUAUAUGAGAUAGCGAGAUCAUGACGAAAACAUGUACAUGUCAUGCACUAUAACUCUAAAGCCCAUCUCAAUGUAGCAACAGAACUGUAUCUGCUCUGUACCCUAAAGAGAAGUAAUCCCGCUUGUCAAAAUCAUUGAGAGGCUGGCUCAUUUACGAGCCAAUGCGGUGCCUUUUUCUAGACGCAAGAAUCGGCUCAAAUUAAUAGUGCAUAACAUACAUUUGGUGGAUUACGUUCAAGCAAUUCUCAUACCGGCUAGUAAAAUUAAUUUUAGAGCGUUUUCAGUCUUCAGUCAGAAAAUAGUUAUUGGCGCCUAUUUUUGCGUUCGGCUAUUCCAUUGACAGGUUUUUAUUUGGUUCAUUUAAGUAAAUGUAUUUUUAUCAGUCUUGUUUCAAAUCUCCGCUAUAGCUAUUUCAAUUAGAAUUCGUUAUGUAAGAGCUAUUUUCCGUUUCGGAUAUCAAUGGAGUCUCAGCGCAGAAUUUAGCUGAAAAUUCGAGUAGAAAUAACGAGAAAAUGCUUUUUGUGAUAAAGUAUGUAUUAUGAAAUAAUUCCAACAUGUGGGUUACGUUUGACUUGAAUACGUCGAUAGGAUUUGCGUCUUCUAAUAAGUUUCUUGAAGUUAUUUUUGCUGAGGCAAAAUGAAAAGUUGCAAAAACAUCCAAGAUAACGCAAGAAUUUAAAAGAUUGAAAAUAAAAUUGUGUUUUAGGAAACGGUUUUCUGAAGGAAAAUCCAAUCAAAUAUGGCCGAAUCAUGAAUGAGUUCGCAAAUUAAUUGGACGAUCUUCUUCGAAAAGUGUUUUCUUGUUAGCAGCGGUGUCUAAUCUAUAAUAAUUUAUACUCGAAGAGAGAAGAACUCAAUUGCAAUUGUAAAAAGUUUCGUUAUACUUAUUGCCAUAGUUGUAAGUUGCAAUAUCGAAAUUAGCGGGAAAACAUUUGUCAAACAUCUUUUCAAUCCUUUAUAUGUUAGUUUCAGUAUCGCUAUGGUUCACCCACUGAUAAGGCUCGAGUGCAGCUCGUCACCCAGUAUACUACAGCUGUUGUAUUUUCCUUUUUUUUAUUGGGGUACAUUGAGCCGAGACUAAGAAUUUCGAGUUUUCGAUCCGACACGACCGUUGCGGAAAGAUUGCUUCAGACCACUGGCUCUUAGCACAGAACAAAACGUCUCGAGGCUUGGCUUAAAGCCUAGACUGCGUUCUCGUAGUAAAUCUGCUUUUGAUAGCUCCCAAAGCUUUUUGCUCGCUAGAUAACUAUUACAGUGGGAACCCAAUAAUAUUUUUUAUUGAAAACAGUGCGUUAAGUGAAAAGCCCAACUCACCUUAUCCUCUUUGCUCUACAUCAAGUACUGGGAUGCGUUUGUUCAAGGUUUUAUACGAUCAAAUAUUAAGACUUUUUUUUUUUCAAUCAUUAUGUCUUGAACUGGUUUGAACGGCUCACGACGCUAAAUUAGGUCGAUUUGCAUUAGACACGAUCUAUUUUGCAGAGAAAUGGCCUUAAUCCAUGCCAUA